RNAcentral lists this small RNA (60 nucleotides) under Sodalis ligni. RNAcentral's name for it is "Pseudomonas sRNA P26". It matches the Rfam family "Pseudomonas sRNA P26". Rfam says of the family: P26 is conserved across many Gammaproteobacteria species and appears to be consistently located between the DNA directed RNA polymerase (beta subunit) and 50S ribosomal protein L7/L12 genes. Lineage: Bacteria; Pseudomonadati; Pseudomonadota; Gammaproteobacteria; Enterobacterales; Bruguierivoracaceae. The record is from Rfam by way of RNAcentral.
ACCUUUUGUACGGCAGCCUGAUUCUAGGCUGAUGGCUGGUGACUUUUGGGUCACCAGCCU